UUUCCAGGCAGGUCCUGUGGAUUCCUCUCUUUUCUUCUGCCCUGACAUUUAUGAGUGUAAGUGCAAAUUAGUAUCAGAUCAGUAAUUACUGCUUUAACAUGUUUGUCAUUGCUUUAUAUUUAACACUCCACCGUUCCCCUGUGUUUCCAGCUGUGGAAAGGAACGUAGCCACCAGAACAGUCACGCUUCAGAAGAGUACCUUACAGGGGCUGCAUGUGAGUGCCAUCGGGGGUCUCAAAGAGGAAACAGGCCUCUAUGUCUCUGCCAUCGACCCAGACUCAUCUGCUGCCCACAGUAGACUACUGGAGGUAGGUGAUAAGAUUGUUAGCAUCAACGGCAAGUCAACCGCAUCCCUCUCUCACACUGAAGCUCACACCCUCCUGAGAAAGCCCAGUGGGGCCGUCACUCUGCAGGUGGGGGGUCAUAGUAAAUCGCUAAUAAAUCGUGAUGCAUCUGUACUUACAUAUUUGUGUUUGACUAUUUCCUUUUAUUGGCUUGGCUGUUAUACACUUCCUACAGGUCAUUUCACACUGUGGCGCUAGUCGAUCGUCUUGGGAUCUGUCUUCAUCUGCUGUUCCAGAAAACUACGCUACCCCUAAUAACUUGAGGUAUGCAUUUCAGCACGCUUCCUAAUUACUUCACAAAUGCACAUUAAAUUCAGGCUUAGUCACACCCCAAGAAUCAUACGAGAGGAGUCCAGAUCUUUGGUUAAUGUUUGUGUCUUUCUGGUUAAAUAGGUCAUUUAACCAGACAUCAGUUAUCCUUAUCCUUACUUUAUGCACAUCAACUGGUGUUCGCUGUCUAUUGUGUUCAACUGCACUACCUCCAUUUUACAUCACACACACACACACUAAAGACUGUACUUUUAUAAUUUCAUUUUAUUUUUUAUUUUGUUGUAUUUAUAUGUAUCAUUUAUAUAUUUUUUUAUCUUUUUGUAACUUUGUGUACUAUACACACCUGCUGCUGGAUGUCAAGAAUUUCCCCUCGGGGAUCAAUAAAGUAUCUAUCUAUCUAUUUACUGUAUAUUUA
This 1029-nucleotide long non-coding RNA is filed under the name Astyanax mexicanus (Mexican tetra). RNAcentral describes it as "lncRNA (ENSAMXG00005003225.1)". The record is from RNAcentral. Lineage: Eukaryota; Metazoa; Chordata; Actinopteri; Characiformes; Acestrorhamphidae.